Molecule: long non-coding RNA, 2299 nt
Organism: Daktulosphaira vitifoliae (grape phylloxera)
Lineage: Eukaryota; Metazoa; Arthropoda; Insecta; Hemiptera; Phylloxeridae
Exons: 6
Source: RefSeq, a predicted model, not a curated record
AAUUUUCAUGACAAUAUCAUGAAAAAGAGUCACAUAUCAAAUAAAUGCACAGUUCUCAAAAAAAUUUGAUUACAAAUAUGAUGUCUAUUGGUUUUGUAUACAUGAUUUCUAAGCAUAUAACAUUAGUAAGCUUUAAUUUCUUCUAUCAAGUAUUAGAAUAUUGUAAGAUCAAUAUUAGAAUGAAUUGUUAUAUUGAAAUGACAGUAUUGUAGUUAAAUCUCUUAUUGCUGGCUUACCAAUUCUUUGAUGGGUCCGCACAGAAAAAAAUUUAAGCAAGUUAAAUCAGGACAUUGAAUGAUGCUACUGUUUGUGCCCAUCCAAUUAUUUCCAGAUAUUUGGGUUAAAUGUUGUACUAUUUGAGCAUUUUAAGCAGGAGCUCCAUCUUGCUGCCAAAAUAUACUUUUUCGUUUUGUUAAAGGUUUAUCCUCUAACAAAAUAAUUUAAAUGUUGAUGUCAGUUUCUUAAUUUAUCAUCUUUAUUUUAUAAAUAAUGCAUUUAUUAGUAGCUUACAUACCUCAAUGUCGUGCAAUCAAUAUUCUAGAUACAUUACAAAAAAGUUGUGAUUAUGAUUUUACUACAAUGUAUAAUGAACAAUUAUAGUAUACAAACCAUAACUCUAGAGCUCCUAUUCCCUAGAGCAUGGAUUUAAUUUUGAUAUCUGUUGUUUAAAUUGUCACUAUAUUUUAAUAAGUAUGCACUUAUUAAUGGACAUAGAAACUUCAAUGUUAUAAGAUCAAUAUUCUAAUCAUACAUUAAAUAACAAACAUGAUCUUACUAGAACUAAAUGUGAAAAAUUGUAGUAUACAACACACAACCUAAAGUUUUAACAAAAUUAGAUUUCGAUUUUAGAUGUCUGUUGGUUUUGUGUACUUUCAUUGCAUACAUUUGUUAAUAAACUUUAAUUAUUUUAGUCACUUAAUAUAAAUAUUUUAAUGAAUUAUUAUUCAUAUUAGAAUUAGCAAUAUUGUUGUUGUAGUUAAAUUUCUUGCAUGUUAUUUAUUUUCAUGGUUUUAUUUAUAUUUUUACAAUUUUAACUAAAAAAAAAGUUAAAAAUCAAACCAUUAUUAUUAACUUAAGUUGAACUAGGGUAAUAUAUAGAUAAUUGUAAGAAUACAUUACAAUUGUAAUACAUGUAGUUUUUAUUAUACUUUUCCAAUGGAAUACUGUUAAAGUUAAAAGAAUGAAAUUUUCAUUCUAAAAUUAAAAGUGACAGUAAUUUUUCUAAAUUAAAUAUACAACAAUUAAAAAUAAUAAUAAUAAUACAUUUUAGCUAUCCAUUAUGAAAUAGUUUCCUUGUUUUUUUUGGCAAUAAAUAAAAAUAAAUUAGAAAUAAAUCCAUUUUAUUUUAAGUAAUAAAUUUUUUUUUGCCUUUUUAAUUGAGAAUUGUUGAAAUAUCAGUUAGUGAUUCAAUCUAUUUACUGAAUACUCUAUGGCAUAAAUUCUGUCAUGAACUCAAGUAUUAAAAAUAAUUUACUUACUGGUCUUUCACAAUUAUAGAUAGAAAUAAUUAUAGGUUUAUUAAAAUAAAAAAAUUGUUGACAAAAUUAUGAAGAAUGAAUCUUAAGAUUUAGCUUGUUUUAAAUAUUUUAAGACUUAGUUCGUUCAAUCUAUAUGCAUUAUUACAAAAUAAGGAAAUAACAUUAUUGAAAAAUAACAAUGAAAUUUUAAAAGAUACUUUUUUUUUUUGAAGUACACAGUACUUUUUUUUUAAGUUGUUGGUAAUUCAUUUUUAUUCAUAUAAUUUUUAGUUGAACAUAUUUCAAAUUUUUUUCUAUGAUCUUUUUUUUUAUUUAUAGUGUGUUUCAAAAAUUUAAGAGAUUCCAAUUCUAGUUUAAAUGGUACUGAUACUUGCAUGUUUGAAUACAUUUCUACAAUUUUAAUGUGCAAUAUUAUAAAAGUAAUAAAAUGUUGAAAGUAUUAAUAAUUUCAUGACUAGCUAGUUUUACACAUUCCAUUGAUGAUGGUUUAAACUAUCAUUUCGGGCAACCAGUUUCCAUAGCCUUUUUUUUUUCUUUGAAUGUAAAUUUUUGACAUGGAUAUGGAUUUAAUGGUUAUAGCAAUAUUCUGUAUAUCCAUAUGCAUUUUUACAAAUUUAUGGAAUGAAAUCAUGGAUAAACUACUAUAAAAAUCUGAAAUAUCCUUUUUUUAAAAGAACACAGUACUUCAUUUUCAUUAAGAUAAAUAGUAAUUUAUUCUUAUUAACAAAAAAAAAAAAAUUUUAAGAUCCCCAUUAGACUGAUUUUACAGUUAUCUUUUAAACAUUUUAUUUCUUUAAAACUUCAUCAAGUUUUUCAAAUAA